UACGUAGGGGGCAAGCGUUGUCCGGAAUCAUUGGGCGUAAAGAGCGUGUAGGCGGUUCGGUAAGUCGGCUGUGAAAGUCCAGGGCUCAACCCUGGGAUGCCGGUCGAUACUGCCGGACUAGAGUUCGGAAGAGGCGAGUGGAAUUCCUGGUGUAGCGGUGGAAUGCGCAGAUAUCAGGAGGAACACCAAUAGCGAAGGCAGCUCGCUGGGACGUUACUGACACUGAGGCGCGAAAGCGUGGGGAGCGAACAGG
RNAcentral lists this ribosomal RNA (253 nucleotides) under uncultured bacterium. Its description in RNAcentral is "partial 16S ribosomal RNA". It matches the Rfam family "Bacterial small subunit ribosomal RNA", at positions 524 to 776 of the family's 1533-position model. The record is from RNAcentral.